UUUUUAGAUUAUUUAAAUUUUGUGCUUUAUUUGAUUUAAAUGUUAAGUGUGAUGAAUUGUUUUAUUUAAGUGUUGUUAUUUUAUUUAAUUGUUUAUUUGUUUUAUUUGAUUGUUUGUUAUUUUAUUUAAUUGUUAGAAAUGUUUUGGUUAAUUAAUUUAAUAAGUGAUUAAUUGUGUAACAUGUUAUCUUACUAUUAGUGUUACAUUUUAUUUAAGUGUGACAAAUGAGGUAUUUAUGUGAGCUAUGGUGGAAUGCACUAAGGUGCAUGAUAGAUAGUAAUGCACCCUAGUAAUUUAGUGUGUGCUAGUGCAUGGUAGCAUGGUGCACAUGUGUAGAUUUUCUACACAUUUUAGGUUUCCUUAUUUUAGAUUUAAUUGAGUAAUUUAUUUAUAAAAAAAAAAAAAAGAAGAAAAGAAAAGGGAAAUGAGGAGUGGGCGUGUGACCUAGUGGGAAUGGAAUAUUUCCUUAAAAUGGUAAAAGAAAAUAAAGACUUGAAGACCAUGAUCAUUUGGGGAUAGGCAUGAUCAUAUCUUAUCCCUUUGUAUCUUUUUGAAAUAAAGAAAAAUCAAGGAAAAUAAAAGAGAAAUGGAAACUUACCUUAAUAUUGUUUGGGGAGACUUUAUGAGAGGAUUUGUGAUAAAGGGGCUAAGAAAGGAGAGAAGAGCCAUUGCUCUUGUGUGUGUGUGUGGCUGCCGUGACCUAGAGAGAGAGAGAGAGAGAGAGUGGCGUGUAGAGAGAGAGAGAGAGGAAGAAAGAAAGAAAGGAAGAAGGAAGAAGAAAGUGAAGAGGAACCCCCCUAGAGCUUGAACAAGGGUGUGGAGUUUGUGGUAUUGAUCUUUUGUGUUCUUGAUUCUACAAUCAAGAGAGGCUCGUUGAAAAGAUUGUGAAAUUCUUAGCUUGGACCUGAGGUAGCAAAUAGGAUUUCUCUAUGGCACGCGUGGUGACGUGAGGAGUUCUUCAUCAUGGGGUGUAUGGCGUGGGGCAAUCCUAUGGACGAUAAAACGAUCAACGUAGAACGCCAUUUAAAUUAUGUUUUGUUUUAAGGGACUUUUCCUAAAUUAUCAGUGGGACUCUGUUAUUUAACUUAAUUGGUUUUCUUUGAACUUUGCAUAAAAACCUAUGUUUUAUUUUAAACUCAUGGCGCCAACUUGCAUGAUUUUAAAUAAGUCCCCUGAGACUUUAAUAAUGGAUGGUAUUCUUUAUAA
This is a long non-coding RNA of Humulus lupulus (European hop), 1206 nucleotides long. RefSeq lists it as uncharacterized. The transcript has 4 exons. NCBI's taxonomy places the organism in Eukaryota, Viridiplantae, Streptophyta, Magnoliopsida, Rosales, Cannabaceae. The record is from RefSeq and is a predicted model, not a curated record.